AUGGACCUGGACAGCUUCCCACUCGACCACGAGUGCCAAGACGACUACGGUCAAGAGAAAGAUGACGAGUGCGACAUCGAAGUGGAGCCUUUGUUCGAGGACGGGCUCACCAACCAAGCCGCCGAUCCUAAGCCAAAGCGCAAUAGCAAGCGCACGAACGCAUACAUGGCUGCCGAGGACAACCUUCUUUGUGAGUGUUGGCAAGACAUUGGACAAGACCCCAAGACGGGCGCCGAACAAAAGCAUUCAACCUUUUGGAUUCGUGUCCAUCGGGAGUUUCAUGAGCGCAAGAAGUUUCCGCCUUACCAAAUUGUGAGCACACGCGGGUGGGUGUCCAUUUCCAAGCGAUGGAGGGUGAUCCAACAAGAGUGCUACAAGUUUUGUGCCACUCUUGAGAGCGUCAAGGCCCGCCCCAUGAGCGGCAUCGGCAUGCAAGACAUGGCAUUUCAAGCUUUGGAGGCAUUCAAGGUCCAACACAAUGGCAAGUGCUUCAACCUCUCCCAUUGCUUUCGGGUCAUCAAGGACGAGGAGAAGUUCAAGGCGCAAUAUGACGCCCUCAAGUCGCGUGGGGGGAAGCAAGCCGUGAAGGAGGUUGGGGACGGCGAGCCGGCACGGCUGCGGGGGAAGACCAACUCCAAGAAGGAGGACAAGCGAGAUGCGGCAUCCAACGCCUUGAUCGCAAGCGUGGUGGGCAUGAUGAACAAGAAGGACUCAAGGGAGGAGGAGCGCCGGUGUUUCAAAGAAGAGCAAAUGAACGCCUUCAUGGAGAUCCAAAGGAGGAGGCUUGAGAUGGACGCGGAGAAGCAAGCCAAGAUGCAUGAGCUGGAGGCGGAGAAGCAAGCCAAGAUGCUAGAGAUCGAGGCCGCCAACGCCAAGACCAAGGCGAAAGAAGUGGCUCUCGCGAGCAUGAUGACCGGGCUAGAGAUCAUGAAGGUGGAUCUCAACACCGUGUCGCCAAGGAAGAGGCCGUGGUUCGAGAAGAUGCGGGUCGACAUGCUCAAGUUCACCGACGAGUGA
Molecule: ribosomal RNA, 1017 nt
Filed under: Triticum aestivum (bread wheat)
Lineage: Eukaryota; Viridiplantae; Streptophyta; Magnoliopsida; Poales; Poaceae
Description: partial small subunit ribosomal RNA
Source: RNAcentral